SAAAUGACUCUCGGCAACGGAUAUCUCGGCUCACGCAUCGAUGAAGAACGUAGCAAAAUGCGAUACUUGGUGUGAAUUGCAGAAUCCCGUGAACCAUCGAGUUUUUGAACGCAAGUUGCGCCCGAAGCCAUCCGGUUGAGGGCACGCCUGCCUGGGCGUCACGC
Molecule: ribosomal RNA, 164 nt
Filed under: Nabalus roanensis
Lineage: Eukaryota; Viridiplantae; Streptophyta; Magnoliopsida; Asterales; Asteraceae
Description: 5.8S ribosomal RNA
Rfam family: 5.8S ribosomal RNA
About the family: 5.8S ribosomal RNA (5.8S rRNA) is a component of the large subunit of the eukaryotic ribosome. It is transcribed by RNA polymerase I as part of the 45S precursor that also contains 18S and 28S rRNA.
Source: RNAcentral